RNAcentral lists this long non-coding RNA (853 nucleotides) under Lepisosteus oculatus (spotted gar). Its description in RNAcentral is "lncRNA (ENSLOCG00000022042.1)". Lineage: Eukaryota; Metazoa; Chordata; Actinopteri; Semionotiformes; Lepisosteidae. The record is from RNAcentral.
AAGAAAGAAAACAACGUUUCGGCCGUGGAGCCUUCUUCAGGUCACCUGAAGGCUCUUUCUUCUCCUUUCAGCAGGGAAUAAACCUAUUACUUGUUCCUUUGCAGCCAACGCAUGCUGACGCAGCUCCCCACCUACACUGCUGCUGCGUGCGGAAUCGGACCGGCCUCGCUUUCAGCACACACCCACUAAGUACCCGGAGACCCUUCAGGUCUGUUUAUCGGAAUGGGAGCCGGCGCCGACCCACGAGGGAACCGCGGACCGGACUCCCGGCGACCGGAUCCCCCCCGCGGGAGCGGGCGCACGGGGCUCAUUAGGGCCAUUCCUCUGUUGCCAUGGAGGCCUGUUAGGGCCCCGAGAUCAGCGGUGAUUAGCAUGUGAAAAGCACUGGCUGGCCUCCCCUGCCCACGGAGGGGCUGCAGGAGGGGCGUCUGUACAAAUUAGCAUGGAGGGGAUUGAGCUGGACAGAGCCUCCCAAGGGAGCCUUCAGCACAGAAUACUUCCAGUCUCCUGAGCCUAAUUGGUUUUUAACAGUAUUCAACAGACAGGGGGCGUGGCCAUGGCAUCCAGGCACCCAGUGGCCCUGCGGCUCCUAGCCGUGUUUUCUUCUGAGGUGCUGGUAUCCACUCAGACGAGCCACUGGAUCCAGCACCAGCACUCGGUGAAACAACGUCCCAAGGCGUUGAAUUCCGGGAGUCCGAAGACUUUUCCGUCUGUUUCUGGGACACAGUGUGCCAGUGUUUAUGAGGUCAUGUCCAUGCUGUUCAGUUGUAAUUCGCUGCUCAAGGAGGACAGAAAACUCUGGAGUCCUGUUCUCUGGACACACUGGGCGCUGUGGACAACGAGCUCCCAGUGA